AUGACAAUAACCUUCGGUGAUGCUACCGAAGACAAAAAAAUCAAGAUUACCAAGGAAGCUACCCACAAGGUGUUUGGAUACCCAAACGGCACGCAAAGGUCAGCACCAAGGCCAGAGACUAGCCCAUCUUCAAUGAAAGAACUGAUGUCAGAGCUUGGCUUCAAAGAUACAAAAUUCGUGCCAAAACAACUAUUCGAGAAGCUACAAAUAUUGGUGGAAAUAGAUGAUGAAGAAUCAAACAGGAAAUCAGUUAAAAUAUUUUUCCUUAUUUUUUCCACAAUGUUGUCUAUGGGUCAAGCGCCGUUAUCUUUGCCCAGAUAA
RNAcentral lists this ribosomal RNA (321 nucleotides) under Triticum aestivum (bread wheat). RNAcentral describes it as "partial small subunit ribosomal RNA". Lineage: Eukaryota; Viridiplantae; Streptophyta; Magnoliopsida; Poales; Poaceae. The record is from RNAcentral.